GACGAACGCUGGCGGCGUGCUUAACACAUGCAAGUCGAACGGGAUUUAGUAAACGGAAGCUUCGGUGGAAGAUUACUAAUGAGAGUGGCGAACGGGUGAGUAACGCGUGAGCAACCUGCCUAUGACAGUGGGAUAGCCUCGGGAAACCGGGAUUAAUACCGCAUAAAAUCGUAGAAACACAUGUUUUAACGGUCAAAGAUUUAUCGGUCAUAGAUGGGCUCGCGUCUGAUUAGCUAGUUGGUGAGAUAACAGCCCACCAAGGCGACGAUCAGUAGCCGGUCUGAGAGGAUGAACGGCCACAUUGGAACUGAGACACGGUCCAAACUCCUACGGGAGGCAGCAGUGGGGAAUAUUGCACAAUGGGGGAAACCCUGAUGCAGCGACGCCGCGUGAACGAAGAAGGUAUUCGUAUCGUAAAGUUCUGUCCUAUGGGAAGAUAAUGACAGUACCAUAGAAGAAAGCUCCGGCUAAAUACGUGCCAGCAGCCGCGGUAAUACGUAUGGAGCGAGCGUUGUCCGGAAUUAUUGGGCGUAAAGGGUACGCAGGCGGUUUAAUAAGUCGAAUGUUAAAGAUCGGGGCUCAACCCCGUAAAGCAUUGGAAACUGAUAAACUUGAGUAGUGGAGAGGAAAGUGGAAUUCCUAGUGUAGUGGUGAAAUACGUAGAUAUUAGGAGGAAUACCAGUAGCGAAGGCGACUUUCUGGACACAAACUGACGCUGAGGUACGAAAGCGUGGGGAGCAAACAGG
Molecule: ribosomal RNA, 746 nt
Filed under: uncultured Finegoldia sp.
Lineage: Bacteria; Bacillati; Bacillota; Tissierellia; Tissierellales; Peptoniphilaceae
Description: bacterial SSU rRNA
Rfam family: Bacterial small subunit ribosomal RNA
Source: RNAcentral